RNA transcript from Populus euphratica (Euphrates poplar), 1318 nucleotides. It is a transcript of the gene named PRA1 family protein A3-like, with no coding region annotated. Lineage: Eukaryota; Viridiplantae; Streptophyta; Magnoliopsida; Malpighiales; Salicaceae. The transcript has 8 exons. The record is from RefSeq and is a predicted model, not a curated record.
UCCCACCGCACGGUAUCCAGGCACGACGAAGAUUUUUAGAAAGAAGAAACUUCUUCGCGGUCGACCAAACAUCACCGAUUCUUACAAGAGCGUUGCUGAACUCCCAUUUCUCCUCUCCUUUUCGAAUCUCUUAAACAGCAUCAUAAAACUUGAUUUCCUCUCUUCUUAAAAAGAAGAAAAAAACACGAAAUCGAACUUUUCAAUAACCAUCACACGUAUUGUUAUAGUUAUUGCUGUUAAUAAUUACCAAAAUCUGAGGGAGAUGGAUUGGGGAAACGUAACAGCAGAAGAUCUAAUCGGUGCGUUAAAGGAAGUAGAUUGGACAUCUCCGCCUCGUCCUCUUAAUGAAUUCUUCUCCAGAUUCACCAUUCCUCGUUCUUACUCGAAGUGGAGUAGCCGCCUCAAAUGCAAUGCCUACUACUAUCGGACAAAUUACUUCAUUUUGAUACUGCUUAUUCUUGGUGUUGCAUGUAUCUUAAGGCCACUGGCUAUUCUAGCCACUGCAUUGUCGGCUCUAAGCAUUGCUUUCCUUAAUGAUAGUUUUGCAGCUACUUUCAGUGAGAGAGUAACGAGAACUGUAAGGAAGUUCUCUCCACAUUUGGCAGCAAAAAUGAGGCCUCGGCAUAUGCCUGUUAUCCGUGGUCGUCCAUCAGCAAAAAAAUCUGUGUACAUUCUUGGCCAACCUCGUUUAUUGUUUGUCCUUUUAUUCUCAGCUGUCAGUUUUGUUUUGUGGUAUGCUUCUGGCAGUCUUUUGUAUAUUUCAUGGGCGCUCAUAAGUGGCCUUCUUGCCACUGUUCUCCAUGCAAGCUUCAAAACACCUAAUCUGAAAGCACGCCUCAACACAUUCCGUGAAGAAUUUCGUGCAGUCUGGCGUAAUUAUAGUGAUCUCUAACUCCCUGUUGGGUUAAAAGGAUGUCAGGGUCGUUGUGAAUCCUGCCCUGUAACCUUGUGUCUCAGUUAGGUUGCUUCGAAUGGCUUGGGGAUGGAGCUGCUUUACUGUUACAUUUUGGUGAUACUGCAAUGGUACCUUGUCGGGACCAGAUCACAAAUGGGGCGGUAGUUGGGGUUAUUGGCCUGUAAGCUCUAGACUUGUGGCCUGUGGUCUCCUGAAUACGAUGAACGAGAAGAACAAUCAUGACUGAAGAACGCACCGUGUCCAGCUAGGGAAAAUCAAAGGUUCAUAUUGGUCCUCUGUAAGAAUUAAAACUCGCUCUGUGAUUGCUUCCCAGAAGUUGUUACUGCUACACUGAUAAUUUUUGUUUUUUAUGCUGUCUAGAAAUAUAUGUAUUUUGAAAAGUAUUGAAUUUCCAUUUUUGUU